GAAAGUCGAUCUUCAGGGCCUGUAGUUCUCUGGACAGUCGUCGAACCUUAAAAGGCUAAUGUUAAUGAGCUCACGGCAUAUCAUAUAUCUGGCGAAGUCAGACAG
This is a long non-coding RNA of Nanorana parkeri, 105 nucleotides long. RefSeq lists it as uncharacterized. Lineage: Eukaryota; Metazoa; Chordata; Amphibia; Anura; Dicroglossidae. The record is from RefSeq and is a predicted model, not a curated record. The transcript is spliced from 3 exons.